This is a non-coding RNA of Rhamnusium bicolor, 73 nucleotides long. NCBI's taxonomy places the organism in Eukaryota, Metazoa, Arthropoda, Insecta, Coleoptera, Cerambycidae. The record is from the annotation of a GenBank genome assembly.
GUUACGAUUGUUGAGUGGUGAAGAUACCGCCUUUCACUCUUGAGUCCCGGGAUCGAUCCCCGGUCGAGGAGCU